This 334-nucleotide unclassified non-coding RNA is filed under the name soil metagenome. Its description in RNAcentral is "partial contains 5.8S ribosomal RNA, internal transcribed spacer 2, and large subunit ribosomal RNA". The stretch from base 1 to 120 matches the Rfam family "5.8S ribosomal RNA", at positions 35 to 154 of the family's 154-position model. The record is from RNAcentral.
GAUGAAGAACGCAGCGAAAUGCGAUAAGUAAUGUGAAUUGCAGAAUUCAGUGAAUCAUCGAAUCUUUGAACGCACAUUGCGCCCGCCAGUAUUCUGGCGGGCAUGCCUGUUCGAGCGUCAUUUCAACCAUCAAGCCCCCGGCUUGUGUUGGGGACCUGCGGCUGCCGCAGGCCCUGAAAACCAGUGGCGGGCUCGCUAGUCACUCCGAGCGUAGUAAUACAUCUCGCUCAGGGCGUGCUGCGGGUUCCGGCCGUUAAAAAGCCUUAUUUACCCAAGGUUGACCUCGGAUCAGGUAGGAAGACCCGCUGAACUUAAGCAUAUCAAUAAGCGAGGA